Molecule: ribosomal RNA, 448 nt
Filed under: uncultured bacterium
Lineage: Bacteria
Description: partial 16S ribosomal RNA
Rfam family: Bacterial small subunit ribosomal RNA
Source: RNAcentral
CCUACGGGUGGCUGCAGUGGGGAAUCUUGCGCAAUGGACGAAAGUCUGACGCAGCGACGCCGCGUGGGUGAUGAAGGCCUUCGGGUUGUACAGCCCUGUGGGGAGAGACGAAUAAGCCGUGGCUAACAUCCACGGUGAUGACGGUAUCUCCUUAGCAAGCACCGGCUAACUCUGUGCCAGCAGCCGCGGUAAGACAGAGGGUGCAAACGUGCUUCGGAAUUACUUGGGGGAAAGCGCAUGUCGGAUGUCAAAGCCCUCGGCUCAACCAAGGAAGUGCAUUCGAAACCGCAUGGCUGGAGGCCCGGAGAGGAAGGUGGAAUUCUCGGUGUAGAGGUGAAAUUCGUAGAUAUCGAGAGGAACAUCGGCGGCGAAAGCGGCCUUCUGGACGAGGACUGACGCUGAGAUGCGAAAGCGUGGGGAGCAAACAGGAUUAGAUACCCGUGUAGUC